Molecule: ribosomal RNA, 301 nt
Filed under: uncultured bacterium
Lineage: Bacteria
Description: partial 16S ribosomal RNA
Rfam family: Bacterial small subunit ribosomal RNA
Source: RNAcentral
CAGUAGCCCGGUAAUACGUAGGGUGCAAGCGUUAAUCGGAAUUACUGGGCGUAAAGCGUGCGCAGGCGGUUAUAUAAGACAGAUGUGAAAUCCCCGGGCUCAACCUGGGAACUGCAUUUGUGACUGUAUAGCUAGAGUACGGCAGAGGGGGAUGGAAUUCCGCGUGUAGCAGUGAAAUGCGUAGAUAUGCGGAGGAACACCGAUGGCGAAGGCAAUCCCCUGGGCCUGUACUGACGCUCAUGCACGAAAGCGUGGGGAGCAAACAGGAUUAGAUACCCGGGUAGUCCCUGUCUCUUAUACA